Molecule: long non-coding RNA, 575 nt
Organism: Fukomys damarensis (Damara mole-rat)
Lineage: Eukaryota; Metazoa; Chordata; Mammalia; Rodentia; Bathyergidae
Exons: 4
Source: RefSeq, a predicted model, not a curated record
AGUUCGAGACCAGCCUGGGCUACACAGUGAGUUCCAGGGCUGUUCUCCACUUGAGGACAGUGGCUCCUGUCAUGGGACUGCAGAUCUGAUGGCUCAGCACAGUGCCCCCUGCAAUUCACAUCUUCCAGGCUCCCUGUCCGUGGUGCCCUGCUGGCCUUUGGGCCUGACCCAGCCGCCUGGCCGAUCCCUGUCCCCCGAUGUGCCUCCUGGGGGAGCAGAGGGGCUCCCUAGGUCCACCCCGGGGCCUUUACCUGUUCAGGGGAAAUGAAGACAACCCCUGGCUCCUCGUGUUGCCAUGUCCGCGUCCCUGUGAAUGCGGCAGCACCUCCACACGGCUCCAUUUUGCUUGACCCCUGGUAUCCACCCAGGCCGAGCACUCUGCGGAUCUGGAGAAGAGCGUGCAGUUCAGCAGUAUGAAGUCUUUUCAGUGUGCUGGGAGACCAUCACCACCAUCCAUUUUGAAAUUCUUCAUCUUCCCAAACUCAGACUGUGUCCCCAUCAAAUGGGAACUCCCCUCUCCCUCUCACCCCUGGCAGCUGUCACCCAACUUCUGUCUUUAUGCCUUUGACUACCGU